RNAcentral lists this ribosomal RNA (253 nucleotides) under uncultured bacterium. RNAcentral's name for it is "partial 16S ribosomal RNA". It matches the Rfam family "Bacterial small subunit ribosomal RNA", at positions 524 to 776 of the family's 1533-position model. The record is from RNAcentral.
UACGUAGGGGGCAAGCGUUGUCCGGAAUCAUUGGGCGUAAAGGGCGCGUAGGCGGCUUUUCAAGUGACGGGUGAAAUCCCCAGGCUUAACCUGGGAACUGCGUCUGAUACUGGAUGGCUUGAAUUCGGGAGAGGGAUGCAGAAUUCCAGGUGUAGCGGUGAAAUGCGUAGAUAUCUGGAGGAAUACCGGUGGCGAAGGCGGCAUCCUGGACCGAGAUUGACGCUGAUGAGCGAAAGCUAGGGGAGCAAACGGG